This is a small nuclear RNA of Ailuropoda melanoleuca (giant panda), 102 nucleotides long. Lineage: Eukaryota; Metazoa; Chordata; Mammalia; Carnivora; Ursidae. The record is from Ensembl.
UUGCUUACUUCGGCAGCACAUGUAUUAAAUUGGAAACAGUACAGAUUAACAUGGUCCCUAUGCAAGGAAGACAUGCAAAUUUGUGAUGCAUUCCAUAUGUUU